GGCGCACAAAUUGAAGGUGAUGUGAGCUCCUAUUUGCACAUGGAAAGGAAGAGAUUUAAUCACAUGAGACUUUUAUUUAAAUUACUAUUUUAAAUCUAAUUAAUAUAUUAAUUAAUCCUAAUCAUAUUAAGACCAGAUUAGACUCAAAUAAAUAAAAAUUUAAAUCUGAGUUGGAGCCCAAUUAAUUUAGAUUGGAUGUCUCUUAAUUGGAGGAGU
Molecule: long non-coding RNA, 216 nt
Filed under: Elaeis guineensis (African oil palm)
Lineage: Eukaryota; Viridiplantae; Streptophyta; Magnoliopsida; Arecales; Arecaceae
Description: long non-coding RNA (EGUI_LNC057319)
Source: RNAcentral